GAUGAACGCUGGCGGCGUGCCUAAUACAUGCAAGUCGAGCGGAAAGGCCUCUUCGGAGGUACUCGAGCGGCGGACGGCUGAGUAACGCGUAGGAACGUACCCCAAACUGAGGGAUAACUGCUCGAAAGAGUAGCUAAUACCGCAUGUGCUCUACGGAGUAAAGCUUCGGCGGUUUGGGAACGGCCUGCGUAAGAUUAGCUUGUUGGUAAGGUAAUGGCGUACCAAGGCGACGAUCUUUAGCUGGUCUGAGAGGAUGAUCAGCCAGACUGGGACUGAGACACGGCGCAGACUCCUACGGGAGGCAGCAGUAGGGAAUUUUCCACAAUGGGCGAAAGCCUGAUGGAGCAACGCCGCGUGCAGGAUGAAUGCCUUCGGGUUGUAAACUGCUUUUAUAAGUGAAGAAUAUGACGGUAACUUAUGAAUAAGGAUCGGCUAACUCCGUGCCAGCAGCCGCCGUAA
This 459-nucleotide ribosomal RNA is filed under the name uncultured bacterium. Its description in RNAcentral is "partial 16S ribosomal RNA". It matches the Rfam family "Bacterial small subunit ribosomal RNA", at positions 28 to 523 of the family's 1533-position model. The record is from RNAcentral.